This 567-nucleotide ribosomal RNA is filed under the name uncultured bacterium. Its description in RNAcentral is "partial 16S ribosomal RNA". It matches the Rfam family "Bacterial small subunit ribosomal RNA", at positions 355 to 914 of the family's 1533-position model. The record is from RNAcentral.
UGGGGAAUUUUGGACAAUGGGCGAAAGCCUGAUCCAGCAAUGCCGCGUGUGUGAAGAAGGCCUUCGGGUUGUAAAGCACUUUUGUCCGGAAAGAAAUCCUUGGCUCUAAUACAGUCGGGGGAUGACGGUACCGGAAGAAUAAGCACCGGGCUAACUACGUGCCAGCAGCCGCGGUAAUACGUAGGGUGCAAGCGUUAAUCGGAAUUACUGGGCGUAAAGCGUGCGCAGGCGGUUUGCUAAGACCGAUGUGAAAUCCCCGGGCUCAACCUGGGAACUGCAUUGGUGACUGGCAGGCUAGAGUAUGGCAGAGGGGGGUAGAAUUCCACGUGUAGCAGUGAAAUGCGUAGAGAUGUGGAGGAAUACCGAUGGCGAAGGCAGCCCCCUGGGCCAAUACUGACGCUCAUGCACGAAAGCGUGGGGAGCAAACAGGAUUAGAUACCCUGGUAGUCCACGCCCUAAACGAUGUCAACUAGUUGUUGGGGAUUCAUUUCCUAGUAACGUAGCUAACGCGUGAAGUUGACCGCCUGGGGGAGUACGGUCGCAAGAUUAAAACUCAAAUGAAUUGAC